RNAcentral lists this long non-coding RNA (617 nucleotides) under Gossypium raimondii (Peruvian cotton). Its description in RNAcentral is "long non-coding RNA (GRAI_LNC004479)". Lineage: Eukaryota; Viridiplantae; Streptophyta; Magnoliopsida; Malvales; Malvaceae. The record is from RNAcentral.
CCAUUUUUGUGGUGUGCCGCAACUCCUCUCAAAACCCCUCCUCUGCCAUUCCAAUUUCCUCCCUUUUCCGACCAGAUAACGGCUAACGAGAGCGCCCAACGAAUCUCUCGAUGGUAAGUCCUCCUCCCCUCACCCUUUUCGUGUUUUGUUUUAAGAAAAUAAAAAGAAAAGAACCAAAAUAACUUUAAAAAAGGCAGUAAAAGAACAGAGAAAAAUAAAACAAAAUCCUACCUUCAAAAGUAUUUUUCUGUAUAUUUCCUUUUUUAUUUCGGUACAAAAAUUUCCUCCCCUUUUAUAGCCUAAAACCUCUUUACAAUUUGUUGUCAUAUAUUCAGUCAUUGCUACUGUUUGUGGUUUGUUGCAGGUGAUGAACGUGCAUGGUGGGUGUGGGGACUUGCUGAACGUGGGUGGAGACGGUUGCCAUGACGUGGGCAGUUGCUGCGGCGCCGAUUUGCUUCAAUCUGCUUAGGGUUUCUGCUAUACCCUGUGUUCUUUUGGGCUAACAGGCUAGUGCUAGCAAUUUGGGCUGUUUGGGUAUUGGGCUUGUAAUUUGGUUAUUGGGUCGGGUGUUAUUGGGUUUAAAACUGGGUCUGUAAUUUAUUGUAUUUUUAUUUUAA